AAAGUCGUAACAAAGGUUUCCGUAGGUGAACCUGCGGAAGGAUCAUUACUGAGUUAGGGUCUACCGAGGCCCGAACCUCCAACCCUUGUGCUUAACUAUACCAUGUUGCUUCGGCGGGCCCGCCUCCGGUAGGGGGCUGCUUGGAUUGAUUAACCACAGUCUGGUCCGCGCCCGUCGGUAGCCCAACUUCAAACUCUUGAUAAAUCGUGUCGUCUGAGUAAAAACAAACAAAAUUAAAAAUUAAAA
Molecule: unclassified non-coding RNA, 246 nt
Filed under: plant metagenome
Description: partial contains small subunit ribosomal RNA and internal transcribed spacer 1
Rfam family: Eukaryotic small subunit ribosomal RNA (bases 1-48)
Source: RNAcentral